GCCGCUAUGGUAAAAUUGGUAGACACGCUGCUCUUAGGAAGCAGUGCGAGUCGGUUCGAGUCCGAGUGGCGGCA
Molecule: transfer RNA, 74 nt
Filed under: Beta vulgaris subsp. vulgaris (sugar beet)
Lineage: Eukaryota; Viridiplantae; Streptophyta; Magnoliopsida; Caryophyllales; Amaranthaceae
Rfam family: tRNA
About the family: Transfer RNA (tRNA) molecules are approximately 80 nucleotides in length. Their secondary structure includes four short double-helical elements and three loops (D, anti-codon, and T loops).
Source: Rfam by way of RNAcentral